CGGCAGGUAUGCAAAUUGGUGAAGCAAGCAGUCUGUAAAACUGUGACAUCAGAAACGUUGUGGGUCCGAGUCCCACCCUGCCGA
RNAcentral lists this transfer RNA (84 nucleotides) under Blautia obeum. RNAcentral's name for it is "tRNA-Tyr(gta)". It matches the Rfam family "tRNA". From Rfam's summary of the family: Transfer RNA (tRNA) molecules are approximately 80 nucleotides in length. The record is from RNAcentral. RNAcentral also lists the same sequence under 2 other names. Lineage: Bacteria; Bacillati; Bacillota; Clostridia; Lachnospirales; Lachnospiraceae.